Molecule: long non-coding RNA, 299 nt
Filed under: Trifolium pratense (red clover)
Lineage: Eukaryota; Viridiplantae; Streptophyta; Magnoliopsida; Fabales; Fabaceae
Description: long non-coding RNA (TPRA_LNC011226)
Source: RNAcentral
GAACAAACUCUGAAUUCCUCAUACAAAGCUCUGAACCUCUGAACUGUGUUGUUGCACUUUUAGUUCAAAUAUUUAGUAUUUGUUCUUCUAGGUUCUGAUUAAGAGUUGUUGUAUACAUUCUACUAUUCAUUUCAUUUGUACUUGAGAAGUCUCUUGCUUGUGUGCUUGAGCAUUGUGGUGAAGUCUCUUGCUUGUGUGCUUGAGCAGUUGUAAUCUUGUGUGAUUAUAGUGAAAUCCCUUGGAAGUGCAAGGGGACUGGACUACUCUCGUUUUGUGAGAGGAACCAGUAUAAAUUGCUU